RNAcentral lists this small nuclear RNA (41 nucleotides) under Cervus elaphus hippelaphus. The record is from RNAcentral. Lineage: Eukaryota; Metazoa; Chordata; Mammalia; Artiodactyla; Cervidae.
AUUGCUUCUUGGCCUUUUGGCUAAGAUCAAGUGUGAUUUCU